RNAcentral lists this microRNA (21 nucleotides) under Populus euphratica (Euphrates poplar). RNAcentral describes it as "peu-miR2912a". Lineage: Eukaryota; Viridiplantae; Streptophyta; Magnoliopsida; Malpighiales; Salicaceae. The record is from miRBase by way of RNAcentral.
UCUAGAACUCGAGAUAUGGGC